Long non-coding RNA from Cyprinus carpio (common carp), 138 nucleotides. RefSeq lists it as uncharacterized. NCBI's taxonomy places the organism in Eukaryota, Metazoa, Chordata, Actinopteri, Cypriniformes, Cyprinidae. The transcript is spliced from 3 exons. The record is from RefSeq and is a predicted model, not a curated record.
CGGGACUUUGCGAAGGUGAUCAACACACUGUCCAUCCUGUCACAAACACCGCUGGCCCUGCAGAGAGGAUUCCGGCCAUUUCCAGAUGAAGCAUGUGUCGGAGAUGAUGACAUCUACACCGGCCUUUCAGAUCAGAUC